RNAcentral lists this ribosomal RNA (467 nucleotides) under uncultured bacterium. Its description in RNAcentral is "partial 16S ribosomal RNA". It matches the Rfam family "Bacterial small subunit ribosomal RNA", at positions 29 to 507 of the family's 1533-position model. The record is from RNAcentral.
AUGAACGCUGGCGGCGUGCUCAACACAUGCAAGUCGAACGGUGAAGGCGGAGCUUGCUCUGCUGGAUCAGUGGCGAACGGGUGAGUAACACGUGAGCAAUCUGCCCCUGACUCUGGGAUAAGCGCUGGAAACGGCGUCUAAUACUGGAUACGAACUGCGAAGGCAUCUUCAGCAGCUGGAAAGAAUUUCGGUCAGGGAUGAGCUCGCGGCCUAUCAGCUUGUUGGUGAGGUAAUGGCUCACCAAGGCGUCGACGGGUAGCCGGCCUGAGAGGGUGACCGGCCACACUGGGACUGAGACACGGCCCAGACUCCUACGGGAGGCAGCAGUGGGGAAUAUUGCACAAUGGGCGAAAGCCUGAUGCAGCAACGCCGCGUGAGGGACGACGGCCUUCGGGUUGUAAACCUCUUUUAGCAGGGAAGAAGCGAAAGUGACGGUACCUGCAGAAAAAGCGCCGGCUAACUACGUG